GGAUAACGAGGGAGGAGUAGGAGAAGGCUUUGGAAGACAGAGAAAAGAAUGGUGGGCGCCUCCUCUCUGCAACCAAGACUCCUCUCUUCUUUUGUUGGAGAUCGCUUUAUUCAAUCCACACAGCCUCUCUGUAAACUCUUUCACUACAAUCCAGGUCUCUUUUACUUUUCUUGUGUUAUACCAUCAAAUUUGUAUUUGUGUUUUCAAGUUCAUAUUCAAUCAUCUGGUUGUUUGGUACCAGAAAUUUUGAUUUUCUCAUCGAAAUAUUUAAUAACCAGUUGAAAUUUACGAGUUUCCAAGGAUUUUAAAGCAUUGGGUAUUGGAUUCUUUCAUUUUAUGUCAAUCACUGUCUUUCUGCUUUUAGCUCUUAAAAAAAAAUCAGAUGGGAGGAAAAAGUUGCUUGAACAUAAAUAUGAAUUGGCUUUAGUCAAAGCUGUCAUUUCCCCUGUGUUCUGUCUCUUAAUUACCAGGUUGUUCUGCUAUGGGAUGUUAGAUGCCAUUGCAAUUUGACUAAAGUUAUAAAAGAAGCUUCUUUAGGUAAUAGGAUGUGUGGAAUUCAGCUUUUGUUAGCUUUAGGUGGAGUGAAAAAUUUGUUAUGGUGUUAUGACACAAUUGGCCUCUCCAAUUAGAAUGCUCAGUGUAAAACGGGCAAGCUGUGUUACUGCUAACUCAUGAUAAUGUUGCUAGUGAAGCUGUUUUGUUGAGAUCCACUAAAUAUUAAUAUCUUUAAAAAUCUUUUUUAUAAAUUUGGGUAACAGACUUAGUUCCUGCAAUUUUCGGCUGUUAAUUCUGUAAUAUAACAAUAGCAAUUCUUUUUGGGUCUUUUUAAUUUCACAAACAGGAAGCAAACAUGUAUCAAUGCAAUUAUCCAGAGGAUUUUCUGGCUUAACUGAUUUUCUGUUCAAUAAAAGGUAUGUUAUGCAAAAAUGUAUCUUCACUUGGAUGCUGUUAAGAUACUGUCAUUCUUUUUCUCAUUGUCCUCCCCAUUGAAUUUUUUUCAUCGUACUGACAUAAUGGAAUUCCGAGAUGCACUAUGCGAUGUUGUUUUCUAUACAUUUUGUGGCACCCACUUGUUCAAAUAAACAUGCAUGCAUAUUCCUGUACACAUACUCCUCUCACAGUAUUCGACAAUUGUAGUCUGUUGCGCUGUAAUUUACUGACCUUAUAUAUUGAAGGGCUUUUGUGGCCUUCUGUGUUAAUGUUGGUUUGUUUUGGUUGAAUUCUUGAUCCGUUCAUGGCUUUUCUUUAGACAUUUUGAAUGGGCUUGAGGGAUUUGAAUGGACGUCAUCUCUGUUGCUUUUACAAUAUGCAUAGUUAAAAGAUAUGUGAACAUGCAGGGAAAAAAAAAAAAGAAACAUGUAAACUGCAAACACAGACAUCUAGGUACAUUUGACAGAUUCAUCAUUGAAAUGAGCAGAAAUCUUGAUGAAGUGGCAAACAGCAAGCGCAGACGUCUAAGGCCUGGAAAAGUAUCACCUCGUCGACCUGUCCCAAAUCAUAUACCAAGGCCAUCCUAUGUUAAUUCUUGGCAAUCACCUGGAAUUGCAAGUGGACCUGAAGUACAUGAUGAGAAGGGGAUCGAGUGCAUGAGAGCUUCUGGAAGGCUUGCGGCACAGGUUCUUGAAUUUGCGGGGACUCUAGUCAAGCCAGGCAUAAAGACAGAUGAAAUUGAUGAAGCAGUUCACCAGAUGAUAAUAGAUAAUGGAGCAUAUCCCUCACCUCUUGGCUAUGGUGGAUUUCCUAAGAGUGUUUGCACAUCAGUGAAUGAGUGCAUUUGCCAUGGAAUACCAGACUCCUGUGCUCUUGAGGAUGGUGAUAUUAUCAAUAUUGAUGUUACAGUGUAUCUAAAUGGUUAUCAUGGUGAUACAUCAGCAACUUUCUUUUGUGGAGAAGUUGAUGACAAAGCCAGAAACCUGGUUCAGGUAACUGAAGAAUGCCUUUAUAAAGCAAUAUCAAUAUGUGCACCAGGAGUGGAGUUCAAGAAAAUUGGCCAAACAAUACAGUAUGGCAUCUUCUUUGGCAGUUCUUUUACAAUCUGAGAUUUUAUCCAUUUUCCUGCAUGCAGAAAUAUGUGGUAGGAUGAUGAAUUGAUUUUUCAGAAGUAGAUAAUUUGUUUUCUAGGUUGCCAUUUUCAUUUUCUACUUCUAAUUUCCUUGGCUUAGCUUUCUCCUCUUGUCUCUAGUUGCAUCGGAUAGAAUACUCAUGUUGGUUAUUUACUAUUAACUUAAUCAAUUGUCCGACUCAAGAACUUGAAUAAUGUCCAAUGACUACUUGAGUCUUGAGGAAAAUGGAAAUUGUUCCAGAAUUUCAUCAGUUUGUUGAAGGCAGCAUUAGCAUUUUUUAUUUGAUACAUGUCAUGUAAUGUGAAUUAUACAUAUUCAAAUUUCUUGCCUUGAUUGUAUACUCAUUGAUAACUAAUAUUUUUCUUUCCAAAGUGACCAUGCAGAUAAAUAUCGUUACGGUAUUGUGCAACAGUUUGUUGGCCAUGGUGUUGGACGUGUUUUCCAUGCUGAUCCAGUUAUUCUACACUACAGUACUUACACCGAUCUUGAUGCUUUAUUGGCUAUAUGCUGGUUUAGUUAUUCCAUGAUUUAGUUAGAUGAUAUCCAUGUGUGGGUUUUAUCCUCUUAGCAAAAAUUAGGUCCGACCAUUUGAAACUUUGAUUAUUAGGUAACAUUAUCAAUAAUUAUACCUUAAGAGUUCUGAUUAAAUCGACUGUACAGGACUAAAUUCAUGGUGAAGUUGUAUCUGGCCAAAGAUUUGGAUUUUGCCUGAAUUCUCAAGAUACUUCUCUUUUUAAUUUUAUCAAAAAAUAAUAAAAAGGGUACUAACUACUGUUAAGUAGCAUAAAGGAGCAACAUGUAAAGGACUAGUCGCUUACCCUUCCAUUCUGCAAUUCUUUUCAGGAAACAAUUAUGGUGGACGCAUGAUGUUGAAUCAAACCUUCACUAUUGAGCCAAUGCUGACAAUGGGUAGCAUUAAUCCGGUAAUGUGGAAUGAUAACUGGACAGUUGUUACAGAAGAUGGAAGCCUAUCAGCACAGUUUGAGCACACCAUUUUAAUAACAAAAGAUGGGGCUGAGAUACUGACCCAAUGUUGAAUGUGUAUUUUCAGAGUGCAUCUGUCCAUCUUCAGGAUUUACACCAUCUACAUGCGAUUGAAUUGGCCUCUUUGGAUUGUAAGUUGUAUCUUAAUCAUGACCCAUUUUUGAAACUCGAAAGGCGUCCUGCAAAUUACAUGAAUUCAUUCACUGUUAACUGUAAGCAUGUUAAAUUAUACUGAAUAAUAUUUCCUGAUGAAAUGAAUAUAAUGAAUUGUCAGACUGAUUCCACC
RNAcentral lists this unclassified non-coding RNA (3333 nucleotides) under Hevea brasiliensis (rubber tree). The record is from RNAcentral. Lineage: Eukaryota; Viridiplantae; Streptophyta; Magnoliopsida; Malpighiales; Euphorbiaceae.